GGGGUCGUAGCGAAGCCAGGCAUCGCAACGGGCUCCAGAUCAAAUAAUGGGCAAUUAUUGAAGAAACCCGUGGAUCAGGGGUUCAAAUAAUAUAAGUAUAUAUUAGAACAAUUCCCUUCGGCCCCA
This 126-nucleotide transfer RNA is filed under the name Candidatus Nitrosocosmicus oleophilus. RNAcentral describes it as "Candidatus Nitrocosmicus oleophilus tRNA". It matches the Rfam family "tRNA". Rfam says of the family: Transfer RNA (tRNA) molecules are approximately 80 nucleotides in length. Their secondary structure includes four short double-helical elements and three loops (D, anti-codon, and T loops). Further hydrogen bonds mediate the characteristic L-shaped molecular structure. tRNAs have two regions of fundamental functional importance: the anti-codon, which is responsible for specific mRNA codon recognition, and the 3' end, to which the tRNAs corresponding amino acid is attached (by aminoacyl-tRNA synthetases). tRNAs cope with the degeneracy of the genetic code in two manners: having more than one tRNA (with a specific anti-codon) for a particular amino acid; and 'wobble' base-pairing, i.e. permitting non-standard base-pairing at the 3rd anti-codon position. Lineage: Archaea; Thermoproteati; Nitrososphaerota; Nitrososphaeria; Nitrososphaerales; Nitrososphaeraceae. The record is from Rfam by way of RNAcentral.